RNAcentral lists this ribosomal RNA (253 nucleotides) under uncultured bacterium. Its description in RNAcentral is "partial 16S ribosomal RNA". It matches the Rfam family "Bacterial small subunit ribosomal RNA", at positions 524 to 776 of the family's 1533-position model. The record is from RNAcentral.
UACGUAGGGGGCAAGCGUUGUCCGGAUUUAUUGGGCGUAAAGAGCGUGUAGGCGGCCAGACAGGUCCGUUGUGAAAACUCGAGGCUCAACCUCGAGACGCCGAUGGAAACCGUCUGGCUAGAGUCCGGAAGAGGAGAGUGGAAUUCCUGGUGUAGCGGUGAAAUGCGCAGAUAUCAGGAAGAACACCCGUAGCGAAGGCGGCACUCUGGGCCGAUUCUGACACUGAGGAGCGAAAGCGUGGGGAGCGAACAGG